RNAcentral lists this transfer RNA (98 nucleotides) under Planctomycetota bacterium. Its description in RNAcentral is "Planctomycetes bacterium tRNA-Leu". Lineage: Bacteria; Pseudomonadati; Planctomycetota. The record is from RNAcentral.
GUAAGUGGCUUACUGGCCGAUGUUUGUGCCGAAUGCCGAGUGGAUUCAAAAUCCACCGGGGUAAAACCCGUGGGGGUUCAAGUCCCCCCUCCGGUACU